CCUACGGGUGGCAGCAGUGAGGAAUAUUGGUCAAUGGACGAGAGUCUGAACCAGCAAAGUAGCGUGAAGGAUGACUGCCCUAUGGGUUGUAAACUUCUUUUAUAAAGGAAUAAAACGAGGCACGUGUGCCUUUUUGCAUGUACUUUAUGAAUACGGAUCGGCUAACGCCGUGCCAGCAGCCGCGGUAAUACGGAGGAUCUGAGCGUUAUCCGGAUUUAUUGGGUUUAAAGGGAGCGUAGAUGGGUUGUUAAGUCAGUUGUGAAAGUUUGCGGCUCAACCGUAAAAUUGCAAUUGAUACUGGCAGUCUUGAGUACAGUUGAGGUAGGCGGAAUUCGUGGUGUAGCGGUGAAAUGCUUAGAUAUCACGAAGAACCCCGAUUGCGAAGGCAGCUUACUAAACUAUAACUGACGUUGAUGCUCGAAAGCGUGGGUAGCAAACAGGAUUAGAUACCCCUGUAGUC
This 460-nucleotide ribosomal RNA is filed under the name uncultured bacterium. RNAcentral's name for it is "partial 16S ribosomal RNA". It matches the Rfam family "Bacterial small subunit ribosomal RNA", at positions 338 to 795 of the family's 1533-position model. The record is from RNAcentral.